UGUUGGUUCAGACAGUGCAAGUUCAUUGGGGAAAAGGAAUUUUGCAGGGAAUAUCAUUCUGAGCUAUGGCUCUGUGGCUGAAGUUCACCAGAAGUUGUCAGAGGUUCUUGUCACUGCAGUAACUUAGAACUGUAUAAACACAAAUGGGAUUAUUUUCCACAGCCAUGGAUCACUGAGCCACUUUCAGGUUAAUUUGAAGCCUUUGAUGAAGAAAGAAGACUGAUUCCUACCUAGACACUAAUCGCAGUCUGGUGUCCAGAGUGCUUUUUUAGAAGAGCUGUGCUUGAGGCCAUGGAAAUGAGAAGGUCCUGGGAUUCCAGUGCCUUAUUUUGGCAGUUUCUUCUGAACAAAAAAGAUUCCCAGCUCUGGAGAGCACAGUGUCAAAACCAUUUGCUUACAACCCUGUGUGAAGUGCUGAUGU
Corapipo altera (White-ruffed manakin) is the source of this 421-nucleotide long non-coding RNA. RefSeq lists it as uncharacterized. The record is from RefSeq and is a predicted model, not a curated record. NCBI's taxonomy places the organism in Eukaryota, Metazoa, Chordata, Aves, Passeriformes, Pipridae. The transcript is spliced from 3 exons.